RNAcentral lists this long non-coding RNA (1427 nucleotides) under Equus caballus (horse). RNAcentral's name for it is "lncRNA (ENSECAG00000037305.3)". The record is from RNAcentral. Lineage: Eukaryota; Metazoa; Chordata; Mammalia; Perissodactyla; Equidae.
CACGGCCCCCUGCAGCCCGUUCAUGGUCCAGCUGCUCCCCAUGGUGCUGAGUGAAGCUGGAAGAUGCAUGAUAGUGGGGGCCUUGGGCAAGGAAAGGAACAAGGAGAUAAAAGAGCAUGGGCUGAGAAGAGUCCAGCAGCUUCCGGAGGGUGACUCACCACCGAGAGCAUCUGAUGGAAAGGCUUUUUAUCUGGAUGCCUGGCACCAGGCGAAGCGUUCCUCCGCGGUGGGCUCGGACCCGGAGAACAGCGCUUCUGAGCCGUUCCUUUACCAGCAGAGACUUCCAUGGAAGGUCCCACCUCACUCCGUGGCCCUUCCCUCCCUUGCGUGUGGGCUCAGCCUUGGGACACAGCUAUAGCACAGUGGUUAGAGCACAGGCUCUGAAGUCAGGCUGCCUGGGUUCAGAUCUUUCUUCUGCCACUCAGUCACUACGAGAUCUUAGGGAAGUUUGUUAACGUCUGUGCACGUCAGCGAUCCAUCUGUCAAAGGGGGAUGAUAAUUCCCUCCCCGUCAUGGCGAGGAUGGAGUGAGGCAGUACAUGCUUAGAAUAGUUCCUGGCACAGAGGAAUUUCUCGCUCUCCGUCUGCUUCCAGCCUCCCAUUUCCAGCUGCCCUCAGGAAAUUGCCACUGGAUGUCCCCAAGGCACCUCCAACGCCACGAGCCUGAAACAAAGCACAUCCUCUCCUCUGUGCCGAGACCCCCUUCCUGCUGAAGGCGCCCUUAUCCUCCCAGCCCGUGGAGCUCCAGGUCAGAAGCAGCUUUGAUGGCACCUCUUCCUUCCUUCCUGAUGUGCCAGGAGUCGCCAAGCCCACAAAGCUUCCUUCCCAGUCUCGCUGGGGUUCGUCUCCCGCAGCACCUUGGCCUGAGUUCCAGCCCUCCUCCCCUCUCCUCAGGACUCAGGCCCCUUUCCAGUGCGCCCGGCACUGGCUGCCAGAGACAUCUGGCCACUGCAGGACUCUUACCACAUACCCGCCCAACAAGCUGCGGUGAUUCUCUUCGCCUACUGCUGCAAGUCCAGGGGCCCCGUAAAGCAGCCCCUCUCUGACUUCCUUUCCUGUCAGAUCUGUCUUCUCACCCAUCAUUCAGUUUCCUGUGCUCCCUCUGGCUAGAAUGCCCUCCCCCUUCGUGUAUCCAGCCGUAACUACCCAUGAGUCAAGACCUGGAAAGGUAAAUUCCAUUGUAUGCUGUUUUCCCACUCUGCUUAAUAAAUAUAACAGCCCGGAGCUCUCUAAUGAGAACUCUGAGAUUAUUUGCAUGGUCUAUGUGAAAGAGAGCCAUGAUUGAUUGGUGAUGUCUCCCAUGUCAUGGGGUUGAUGUCGUCAUGGGUGUAGGAGGGAGAAAUAGUUGACUAGUGAUGUCUGCCAUGGGUAAAGGAGGGAGCCAUGGGUAAAGGAGGGAGACACAGAAGUAAGUUGCUUUGUCUUGAG